UGGUGUUGUGAAAUGUCUGGUUGAUUCCGUUAACGAACGAGACCUUAACCUGCUAAAUAGUCACGCGAACCUUCUGACAUGACGUGAAGCGGCCUGCGCGCCGUGCCUACGGGCGCUGCCGCGGGUUGUGAAUCGUCUGAUGUGUUCGUGGCAGUACUUCUUAGAGGGACUAUUCGUUUCUAGCGAAUGGAAGUUUGAGGCAAUAACA
Molecule: ribosomal RNA, 208 nt
Filed under: uncultured eukaryote
Lineage: Eukaryota
Description: partial 18S ribosomal RNA
Rfam family: Eukaryotic small subunit ribosomal RNA
Source: RNAcentral